This 564-nucleotide long non-coding RNA is filed under the name Homo sapiens (human). RNAcentral describes it as "HSALNT0312914". Lineage: Eukaryota; Metazoa; Chordata; Mammalia; Primates; Hominidae. The record is from RNAcentral.
GAAGCAUUCUCAGAAACUGAGUUGUGAUGUUUGCAUUCAACUCACAGAGUUCAACAUUCCUUUUAAUGGAGCGGUUUUGAAACACUCUUUUUGCAGAAUCUGCAAGUGGAUAUUUGGACCUCUUUGAGGCCUUCGUUGGAAACGGGAUUUCUUCAUGUAAUGCCAGACAGAAGAAUUCUCAGUGAAUUCUUUCUGUGUGUGUGUAUUCAACUCACAGAGUUGAACGUUCCUUUAGACAGAGUAGAUUGGAAACACUCUUUUUGUGGAAUUUUCAGGUGGAGGUAUCAAGCGCUUUGAGGCCAAUGAUAGAAAAGGAAAUACCUUUGUAUAAUAAUUAGACGGAAUCAUUCUCAGAAACUGCUUUGCAAUGUGUGCGUUCAACUCACAGUGUUUAACCUUUCUUUUCAUACAGUUGUUUCGAAACACUCUUUUUGCAGAAUCUUCAAGUGGAUAUUUGGACCUCUUUGAAGUCUUCGUUGGAAAUGGGAUUUCUUCAUAUAAUGCUAGACAGAAGACUUCUCAGUAACUGCUUUUUCUGGUGUGUAUUCAACUCUCAGAGUUGAA